RNAcentral lists this ribosomal RNA (2531 nucleotides) under metagenome. RNAcentral describes it as "bacterial LSU rRNA". It matches the Rfam family "Bacterial large subunit ribosomal RNA", at positions 3 to 2557 of the family's 2925-position model. The record is from RNAcentral.
UUAAGUAAGGAAGGGCGUACGGCGAAUGCCUUGCCACUCGAAACUGAAGAAGGACGCGCCAAACUGCGAAAAGCUCCGUGAAGCUGUAAGGAAGCGAAGAAGCGGAGGUGUCCGAAUGGGGGAACCCGGCAGCAGACAUGAGCUGUCAUCUGCAGGUGAAUACAUGGCCUGCAAGAGAGGUACCCGGCGAACUGAAACAUCUAAGUAGCCGGAGGAAAAGAAAACAACAGUGAUUCCCUGAGUAGCGGCGAGCGAAAGGGGAGAAGCCCAAACCGGUUGAAGGACCGGGGUUGAAGGACCAUGACAUGGCAAGAACGAGGAUAGGAGAACGGGAUCGAAAGCCCGGCCGAAGAAGGUGAAAGCCCUGUAACCGAAAUCCAAGGGAAGCCUAAUGGGAUCCUGAGUACGGCGAGACACGAGAAAUCUUGUCGGAAGCAGGCGGGACCAUCCGCCAAGGCUAAAUAUAAACGAGUGAGCGAUAGUGAACCAGUACCGUGAGGGAAAGGUGAAAAGAACCGCGGGAGCGGAGUGAAAGAGAACCUGAAACCGUAUGCCUACAAGAAGUCAGAGCCCGUUAAGGGGUGAUGGCGUGCCUUUUGUAGAAUGAACCGGCGAGUUGCGACAGACUGCGAGGUUAAGGAGGAAAGACCGGAGCCGAAGCGAAAGCGAGUCUUAAGAGGGCGAAAGUAGGAUGUUGCAGACCCGAAACCGGGUGAUCUAGCCAUGAGCAGGUUGAAGUUGAGGUGAAACUCAAUGGAGGACCGAACCGACUACCGUUGAAAAGUUAGCGGAUGACUUGUGGCUAGGGGAGAAAUUCCAAUCGAACCCGGAGAUAGCUGGUUCUCCCCGAAAUAGCUUUAGGGCUAGCGUCGGAAAGAACCUUAGUGAAGGUAGAGCACUGAAUGUGUGAUGGCCCCAUCCCGGGGUACUGAAUACAAUCAAACUGCGAAUGUCAUUAAGGAUGUCCGGCAGUCAGACUGUGAGUGAUAAGGUCCAUGGUCAAGAGGGAAACAGCCCAGACCGCCAGUUAAGGUCCCAAAAUACAGGCUAAGUGGAAAAGGAUGUGGGGAUGCCCAGACAACUAGGAGGUUGGCUCAGAAGCAGCCAUCCUUUAAAGAGUGCGUAACAGCUCACUAGUCGAGUGACCCUGCGCCGAAAAUGUACCGGGGCUAAGCCUGAUACCGAAACUGCGGAUUGUAGGAAACUAUAGUGGUAGGGGAGCGUUGUAUACGAGUAGAAGCCGUACCGUGAGGAGCGGUGGAUUGUAUAGAAGUGAGAAUGCCGGUGUGAGUAGCGAGAUGUAGGUGAGAAUCCUACACACCGAAAGCCCAAGGAUUCCAGGGGAAGGUUCGUCCGCCCUGGGUAAGUCGGGACCUAACGCGAGGCCGAAAGGCGUAGUGGAUGGAAAGCAGGCGAAAGAUUCCUGCACCCGUAUAUGGAGCGAAGGAGUGACGGAGACGGAUAGUGUGACCCUCUUAAUGGAUUGAGGGCGAAGCGAAGCGGCUGGUUACCAGGCAAAUCCGGUAACCUUAAGGCUAGAGCGUGACAGGUAAGCGAAAUCUUAGGAAAGUAGCGAAGCACAUGAUGACGGCUUCCAGGAAAAGCUUCUGGCAAUGCAUAUGCGGCCCGUACCAAAACCGACACAGGUGGGCAGGGAGAGAAUCCCGAGGUGAGCGAGAGAACUGUUGCCAAGGAACUCGGCAAAAUGACUCCGUAAGUUAGCGAGAAGGAGUGCUUAAGCAAUUAAGCCGCAGUGAAGAGGCCCAAGCGACUGUUUAACUAAAACACAGCUCUCUGCGAAGUCGCAAGACGAAGUAUAGGGGGUGACACCUGCCCGGUGCUGGAAGGUUAAGAGGAUCUGUUAAGAGCGAUCUGAAGCAGUGAUCCGAAGCCCCAGUGAACGGCGGCCGUAACUAUAACGGUCCUAAGGUAGCGAAAUUCCUUGUCAGGUAAGUUCUGACCCGCACGAAAGGUGUAACGAUUUGGGCGCUGUCUCGGCAGCAGACUCGGUGAAAUCUUAGUACCUGUGAAAAUGCAGGUUACCCGCAACUAGACGGAAAGACCCCAUGGAGCUUUACUGCAGCCUGAUAUUGAAUUCUGGUCAUACAUGUACAGGAUAGGUGGGAGACAAAGAGACGUGCACGCCAGUGUACGAGGAGUCGACGUUGGGAUACCACUCUUGUGUGACCGGGGUUCUAACCUGGUAUCGAGAACAGGUACGGGGAGAGUGUCAGGUGGGCAGUUUGACUGGGGCGGUCGCCUCCCAAAGAGUAACGGAGGCGCCCAAAGGUACGCUCAGAUUGGAUGGAAACCAAUCGUCGAGUGCAAUUGCAGAAGCGUGCUUGACUGUGAGACUUACAAGUCGAACAGGGACGAAAGUCGGGAAUAGUGAUCCGGCGGUGCCGAAUGGAAGGGCCGUCGCUCAACGGAUAAAAGCUACCCUGGGGAUAACAGGCUGAUCUCGCCCAAGAGUUCACAUCGACGGGGAGGUUUGGCACCUCGAUGUCGGCUCAUCGCAUCCUGGGGCUGUA